ACGUACAACAUACUGCCUCGUGCAGAAUAAUUGCCAGAAGUGGGCUUUGAAGUUCCUCAAAGCCCUUGAAGUUCCAUAUCCCGAACAAAUGAACGAACUUGCAUCAUCGGUCAACCAAAUAUCUCAGGACCAUGGAGACGAAGCGGAUGCUGUCAUCAUCCGUCACCUGGAUGAAAUUUUUGGCGGUUAGGAAAUGGCACAAGUAUGGGUGCUUCUCCAGAAUGCCUCGUAACACAUGGCAAAUGAGUGUGUUUAUUUGAUGCUCUUUGUGACCACAUAUACUCAGUGUGCCUUGGCAAAACAAAUGCCAUUACAAUAGCUGCUACAUGCUCCUUUUUCUUAGUAUGUUAGUGUAUGGCACGAGCUGUACUAUAAAAUCCACUCACAUGAGUAUGCUUACCAAAUGCUGCACAUAACUGCAUGACAAAAGCUUUUUCGCUUACAAUAAAUGUGUAUCUGUCAUCGUGUUUACUUUCUCUUAGUUUACUUCAUUAAUAAAUGGUAAAACUCGCUGGAGUAUAUAUAAUAAUUGACGCUUUUUUUCGCCAUACAAUAAACUUGACAAGCCCAGUGACCAUAUAGUGUGUCACGCAACUAGAUGUAUUAAUUAGCCUGCUUUUUUGUAAAAGAAAUAUUUACAAAUAAAGUUGAACUUGAUACUCA
Molecule: long non-coding RNA, 663 nt
Organism: Rhipicephalus microplus (southern cattle tick)
Lineage: Eukaryota; Metazoa; Arthropoda; Arachnida; Ixodida; Ixodidae
Source: RefSeq, a predicted model, not a curated record